AGCGGCGCAUGGUGGCAGCCGCGCGCCGUGCAAUGAUACAAAAGAAUUUGCGCUUGUACGUAGCGUUGUUGGAGUGGUCCUGAACCUGAAUAGCUAGGUUUGUGGCGCGAAUCGUGGCGGGCGCUCAAAAUGUAGGCGAUCGGUAUUUCUACUUGCGUAUCAACUGGUUCAAGGGUUUUGACGCCCAAAAUGAGCUUCACUGACGCCGGUAACUCAGCUUUGCUUUUGCAUAAGCUUUGUUGCCACAUAACUGGGCUACCACCAGGUGCCGUGAGUGAAGCAUACGACAUAGCCUUGCAUUCCAUUGCAACCGCUACUACUGCUGUGGAAAAAGAGACACUUCCGAUAAGCGAGUUGAUAGUCAGGUCCUUCAUUCAGGCACACAAGGAAGCUGAAGCGGUGAAAUUUUCUGACUUACUGCGCAAGCUUCAUGCACCUCACGUGCAAGGCGUUCUGAAAAACCCAUCGUCUGUUUUGAGCUUUCUGUAUCACCUUUCCGAAGCACAGUCAAAGUUGACAGCACCUGGGUUUGGUCUUCCACGGUUAGGUAGCCAGGUCGAAAGGAGGCAGCGGCAUCAGCAUGCUGUCGACGAGACAGGCGACAGGACCUCUGGCUCUCUUGAAUCCCUGUCACAUAAGAGCAGGCCCUCAACGAAGUCAUCUAAUCAGUUUCUGGGACUCAGUACCCAAGUUGAAGGUACAAUGCCCGUUUCCGGAGAUGAGUUGAUCACGGAAGUGCUCUACGCAUUUCAAGGGAUCGGUGGAAAAAUCCUCCACUUCGACGAAGUGAAAGAAUGCUUCGUAUUUAAUCCCAAAGUAUCAUUGCCCCAGCCAACCCAGACGCUCGUACUCAGGCUCGUAGAGCUGGGGUGUUUGUACCGUAAGGUGAACGCUUUCUGCGAGAGCAAGUCGGGCGGCUGUAAGAGCGGCCUCAUGCCAGAGAGCUUCGUCGCCGCCAUCCGUACGGAGCUCUCUGAAUACUACAGAUUCGUAGCCGUCCUGGAUUCCCAGCAUCGCGACAACUUUGAAGACGGUGGCAGUAAGUUGACUCUUCUCCGGCUGCGUCUUUGGGCCAUGGAACCGAUGAAGAAGAUGAGGGUCUUGGCUGCUCUGGUUGCUGCGUGUGCCGAGUUGAAGGGGGGAAUGCUGGCUUCAAAAGUCCACGCAUUCCUGCAUCACGGAGGUCGUGAAGUUGUGGCCCUCGUGAAGCGACUGCUGAUUGCGGUUGUGAAGCCUUGGCAGACCAUGCUCUGUCGGUGGAUACACACUGGAGAGCUGGAGGAUGUCUACCACGAGUUCUUCAUAGCUUCGAAUGCUCCGGUCAAACCAGAGAGCUUGUGGCAUGACAAGUACUACCUCCGCAAGAAUAUGGUACCAUCCUUCUUGGCGGAGUCGCAGGCAAGAAAGAUCCUUUGCACUGGGAAGGCAGUGAACUUCCUUCUGCAUGUCUGCGGAGACAGCACGGCAGCACGCAUGGAAGGUAGCAUAGCCAGCACUUUAGGUGCCUCUUCUGUACAGCUUCUGUUUGACCAAGACACUGACGAGGCAUUUGACGAGUUCCUGGACAAGAUAUAUCGUGAGCGUAGCCGUAGGGUGCUCUCUGUGCUGAAUUCCCAGUUUAAGUUCAAGGAACAUUUGCAGGCGUUCCGUCAGUUCUUCCUUCUUGGGCAGGGAGACUUUGUUCGACACCUCAUGGAUGUGCUCAACCCUCAUUUGAGCCAACCAGUUGAGUCACUGCACCAACAUACGUUGACAGAACUGCUGUCGGAAGCUGUCCGGGCCACAAAUGCCCAGUUCAUUGACCAGGACAUUCUGCAGCGGCUCGAUGCAAAGCUGUUAGAGGUGAAUCCCGGAGAUACAGGGUGGGACGCAUUCAGUCUGUAUUAUCACGUCGAUGGGCCGAUAGGAACGGUAUUCACACCUUACUGCAUGUCAGUUUACCUGAGGCUGUUCAACCACUUGUGGCGAGCCAAGCACAUGGAGUAUGUCGCCACGGCAGCAUGGACAGAGCAGACGGUCCACAUGAAGUUACUUCGUUAUCGCUUACCCGAGUGCCUCCCAGUGCUGCACCGCUGCCACCUCAUGCUUGCAGAAAUGAUGCAUUUUAUGCAGGAAGUACAGUACUACAUUGUAUUUGAGGUGAUCGAGUGUGCAUGGGCAGAGUUGCAAACGAAAGUGGAACAUGCUCAGGACCUCGACCAGAUCAUCAAAGCCCACGAGGAAUUCCUGUCAACCAUCAUGACACGAGCUCUACUGGACACUGACUCUCGGGACGUCUUGUCGGAGUUGCGUUCUAUCUUCGAGCAAGUGCUGCGCUUCAAGCAGGUUCAAGACGAAAUCUUUUCCGGUGCCCUCAAGGAGAUCGAUGCCCGUGCCGAGGAGAAGAAACAUCCAGCUGUUAAGGUCACGAGAACUAGCUUUGUCAGGGCUAUCUUGAAGUCUCAAUCUUCACUGACACUAAUUUCUGAUACAUUUGAGAGAUUCGUUGAACACUUCCUGUUGAGCUUGGCAAAUCAGAGCGAUGGCAACCUCCAAGGCCUUGGAUUCCGCCUUGACUUCAAUGAGUACUAUAAGGGGCACAACAGCCAACUACGUACAUCAAUGACGUUCCAGAACAAGAAGCAGACUAUGCGCAUGUUCCCGCCUGUUCUCUAAGCACUGUAUUGGCCAGCACGUCCCUUCUCUCCCUGCAAAUUCCUCUGUGAUUGGCGCGUCACGUACGGCUCUGCCACAGCUGGAGGAACGAUAAAACUGUGCAUGCACGUGGUUGGCUGAUUCUUCUCUACUCUAACGACAAGUCCGACAGUCAGGGAGAAGAUGUCCUGGAUCGAAUAUUGGGCAGACGGCUUUCAUCUAUUCACUGCAGUUCCCCAAUUUUCAAGUCAUGAGAUGGCAUGUUCCAAAUACGGGGCUCUCUUCCAGAAUAGUUAUUGUUGAUCACUUCCCAAUCAUUAUAAAAUGCCAAUGUUGAUUACAUA
This is an RNA transcript of Ornithodoros turicata, 2978 nucleotides long. It is a transcript of the gene named gamma-tubulin complex component 3-like, with no coding region annotated. The transcript is spliced from 25 exons. The record is from RefSeq and is a predicted model, not a curated record. Lineage: Eukaryota; Metazoa; Arthropoda; Arachnida; Ixodida; Argasidae.